UAAAAUGAGAGUUUGAUCCUGGCUCAGGACGAACGCUGGCGGCGUGCCUAAUACAUGCAAGUCGAACGAAACUUUCUUACACCGAAUGCUUGCAUUCACCGUAAGAAGUUGAGUGGCGGACGGGUGAGUAACACGUGGGUAACCUGCCUAAAAGAAGGGGAUAACACUUGGAAACAGGUGCUAAUACCGUAUAUCUCUAAGGAUCGCAUGAUCCUUAGAUGAAAGAUGGUUCUGCUAUCGCUUUUAGAUGGACCCGCGGCGUAUUAACUAGUUGGUGGGGUAACGGCCUACCAAGGUGAUGAUACGUAGCCGAACUGAGAGGUUGAUCGGCCACAUUGGGACUGAGACACGGCCCAAACUCCUACGGGAGGCAGCAGUAGGGAAUCUUCCACAAUGGACGCAAGUCUGAUGGAGCAACGCCGCGUGAGUGAAGAAGGUCUUCGGAUCGUAAAACUCUGUUGUUAGAGAAGAACACGAGUGAGAGUAACUGUUCAUUCGAUGACGGUAUCUAACCAGCAAGUCACGGCUAACUACGUGCCAGCAGCCGCGGUAAUACGUAGGUGGCAAGCGUUGUCCGGAUUUAUUGGGCGUAAAGGGAACGCAGGCGGUCUUUUAAGUCUGAUGUGAAAGCCUUCGGCUUAACCGGAGUAGUGCAUUGGAAACUGGAAGACUUGAGUGCAGAAGAGGAGAGUGGAACUCCAUGUGUAGCGGUGAAAUGCGUAGAUAUAUGGAAGAACACCAGUGGCGAAAGCGGCUCUCUGGUCUGUAACUGACGCUGAGGUUCGAAAGCGUGGGUAGCAAACAGGAUUAGAUACCCUGGUAGUCCACGCCGUAAACGAUGAAUGCUAGGUGUUGGAGGGUUUCCGCCCUUCAGUGCCGCAGCUAACGCAAUAAGCAUUCCGCCUGGGGAGUACGACCGCAAGGUUGAAACUCAAAGGAAUUGACGGGGGCCCGCACAAGCGGUGGAGCAUGUGGUUUAAUUCGAAGCAACGCGAAGAACCUUACCAGGUCUUGACAUC
This 1019-nucleotide ribosomal RNA is filed under the name Ligilactobacillus salivarius. Its description in RNAcentral is "bacterial SSU rRNA". It matches the Rfam family "Bacterial small subunit ribosomal RNA", at positions 1 to 988 of the family's 1533-position model. Lineage: Bacteria; Bacillati; Bacillota; Bacilli; Lactobacillales; Lactobacillaceae. The record is from RNAcentral.